Neodiprion fabricii is the source of this 984-nucleotide long non-coding RNA. RefSeq lists it as uncharacterized. The transcript is spliced from 2 exons. The record is from RefSeq and is a predicted model, not a curated record. Lineage: Eukaryota; Metazoa; Arthropoda; Insecta; Hymenoptera; Diprionidae.
UUCGUUUUCGUUGCUCUGAUUCUUCUGGCCAAGUCUUUGAGCUGCGUGACAUUUCUUCAUCAGCGAGACUUAUUCGUGUAUCCUUCAUUAUAGUUCUCCAGAUACUAACGUUGUAGAAGCCGGAGCCUGGUCGAAAUCGCGUUAAAUUUCCUUAGAAAAUUGAGCGCCUUGGGCUGGUCCCUGGAGCUGAUUGCAGAGAACGGAGACAAAGCUUGAAGCUGAUUGGAAAAAGGGCGGAACGCAAAGGUGGAGAAGGAAAAAGUUGGAAUCUCUACCAAACUGAAGAAAUGAACGAUGGAGUUCAAGAAUACUAGUUCAAGAUAAACUCGGUAUAAUAAAAGAUACUUUUGGUGUGAAAAAUCAGUGAGAAAGAAUAUAUAUAACAAGAUUCGGAGAACGGACGAAAUGGGGUCGAGGAUGUGGAAAUCACGCGUUCCGAAUUUUUAAGGAGAAUAAUGGAAGCGAGUUUCCGAAUAAGAAACUUUUAGCCGCCGAUAGAUAGGAAAUGUUUUCAUAUUCUGGAACAAAUGUUGUUGAACCCUGGAGGGUGUAUCUCGCAUCUCUUUAUAAUUCCAUUACGAAAAUCGGACGAAUGGCAGCCGUCGUUAGCAAAUUUUACGACAGAAUGAGCCUGUCGUUUUCCAAGGAAGUUUAUCUCACUUCGGAAGAAAAGGUAUUUGCCCCGUACGUACGGGGGUGGAAGACUUCGAAGAGGGAGAAGCGGUGACAACAAGGAGGUGGCGCAGUCGGGCGGAUUUUAGGGUUGGAUCAAUGACCCGAGCCACAGUUCGACACACGCCCGAAUUCCCGUGUAACAGAAUUAGGCGGCGAUGAGGGCUCGUUCCCUACAGGUGGUCCACUAUACUGGUAUCGGAAAUUACCCGGGAAAAAAAUGGACACACAGGGCGAGUAUAAUCCACGUCUAAUUCAUAUCGUAAUUAAGUUUGCGUGUGCCUAAUUCUCCUUAUUCUUCGAUAGGUUGUA